Non-coding RNA from Podarcis lilfordi (Lilford's wall lizard), 413 nucleotides. The record is from the annotation of a GenBank genome assembly. NCBI's taxonomy places the organism in Eukaryota, Metazoa, Chordata, Lepidosauria, Squamata, Lacertidae.
GCUGAAGGGGAUGAUCCUGCAUCCUUUCCUUCUAUAGUCUGUGCACAUGUUUCUCCCUCUGAAAGUACGAUUGGUGCCUACCUGAAGCAACCCUUUCCAUGACCCUCAGUUGAUUGGAAGGGAGUUGGGUUCAAAUCUCAGUGUCUGAAGUGAUGGAGGUGGGUGCUGAGAAAUUCCAUUUCAGUAACAACCAAUCCCAGGGAAGCCAGCAGGAGCCCCUGGGAGAGUUUUCUUUGUGAAGGUCAGGGUUGCCCUGGAAUGGGUUCGCCCUGAGAGAGAGGCCCGAGCCUUGGAAAGCGUUCUGGUUACAGCAAUGUCCGGCAAGAUCUCAGUGGCCCUUGAAAAUCUGAGGGAGAGGGUCUAAAUCUCAUACCCAUAGCCACAGCAAGUCUCCAAGGUGAACAGCCUCUGGC